UACGUAGGUGGCAAGCGUUAUCCGGAAUUAGUGGGCGUAAAGCGCGCGCAGGUGGUUUCUUAAGUCUGAUGUGAAAGCCCACGGCUCAACCGUGGAGGGUCAUUGGAAACUGGGAGGCUUGAGUGCAGGAGAGGAAAGUGGAAUUCCAAGUGUAGCGGUGAAAUGCGUAGAGAUUUGGAGGAACACCAGUGGCGAAGGCGACUUUCUGGUCUGUAACUGACACUGAGGCGCGAAAGCGUGGGGAGCAAACAGG
RNAcentral lists this ribosomal RNA (253 nucleotides) under uncultured bacterium. RNAcentral's name for it is "partial 16S ribosomal RNA". It matches the Rfam family "Bacterial small subunit ribosomal RNA", at positions 524 to 776 of the family's 1533-position model. The record is from RNAcentral.